This 1478-nucleotide unclassified non-coding RNA is filed under the name Hevea brasiliensis (rubber tree). The record is from RNAcentral. Lineage: Eukaryota; Viridiplantae; Streptophyta; Magnoliopsida; Malpighiales; Euphorbiaceae.
CAACAGUGAGGAAAUGUCUAUGAUUAUGAAUAGAGGGAAUUGAAAAAGGACCCCAAAGAUCAACAUGAACAAGUUCAAACAUUUUAUUGGAGUUUGAAUCACUUAAGGAAAUGGUAAAUGUCUCUGUUUAGCAUAGUGACAAAUAUCACAAUUGCUAUUCUUACGAAAACUAAAAUCAGAAAUGAAAGGUUGCAAAAGUUGUAAUCUGGAAGUGGAGGGAUGACCAAGUCUAUAAUGCCAAAAGUCAAAGUUGGCAGCAACAUGGACAGAAUGAUGAGAAUUGCUGGGAUUUGAGGAGAGAACAAGAUUAUUCAAUACAUAUAAACCUUCAUGUACGUUAGCUGUACCAAUCAUCUUGCAUGUGGUCAAGUCCUGGAUAAAACAUGAAUUAUGACAAAAAAGAAACAACAUGAGAGAGCAAAAGUUAAUUUGCUGACAGAAAGAAGAUUAAAGGAAAAUUCUGGAAUACAGAGAACAUCUUCCAAAAUAAAGUUCUCAGAAAACUUGAAAAUACCAGAAAUGGAAGCAAUAACCUUUGUACCAUUUGGAAGAGAAACAGACAAUGGAGGAAUAGAAUGAUAUGAGAAAAAAUUAUUCAUGGAGCAAGUAAUAUGGUCAGUUGCACCAGUAUCUAUAAUCCAACUAGAAGUCCUAACAGAACAAGAUAAAAGAAAAUGAUUAUGUGACUUGCCUGAUUGAGGAGUGUAAGUGGAAAUUAAAUUGCUAACAGUGGGUGUGUUUGAUGGAGAUGAAAAAGUAGAGGGAUUAGGAAGUGAUGCAGAAACAAUUUGAGUAGCCUGAAGCAAAGCUAUGAGACUUUGACACUGCUCUUGAGUUAGAGAGAUACUGGAGUUAUUAGGAUUCCCUUUGACAGAAACAAUAGGAUCAGAUGAUUGAGUCUCUUCUGAAUUGGCACAAUAAUUUGCAGAAGCAGAAUUGAACCUCUUAUACCCAGGAGGAUAACCAUGCUUUUUAUAGCAUGUCAACUGUGUGCCUAUAUUUGCCGCAGAAAGUACAAAAUCUGUGAUCUUCAAUUUUACCAUCACCACCAAGUUUAGGAGCAUAAUACGGUUUAGAUCUGGACUGAUCAGCUUUAAUAGCCCUAUUGAUAAAUGCCUUAGAUUCAACAGCAUUAGCACCAGAAGGAAAUAAUUGCCUUUCUUGCUGGAUUACCAAAGUAAAGGCUUUGUUAAUUAAGGGAAAUGGAUCUUGCAUCAUAAUUUGGGACUUAACUGUAGAAUACUGAUCAUUUAGCCUCUUCAAAAAUCUUAAAACAUGAUCAUGAGUCUGAUAUUCCUGCACCUUCAAAUAUCCAUCACAACAACAAGCAUUCUCGCAAGAGCAUGAGGGAAUAGGUCUGAAAUUCAUCAACUUAUCCCAUAAAAUUUUCAAUUCUGUAUGAUAGUCAAUCUCAGAUCUGCAAGAAGAGAUUUACGCCCUUAAACAAGGUGAGAUAUCUGUGAUUGACUAUCAUACAG